AAGAGCUCACAGCAAUGACAAGUGACCAAUUCCUUUGAAGACAUAACUGUUACUUGAAUCUGUGAGGAAAAAGUUGGUAGAAGGAUAAAUAGAGAAGCUAGAGGAAAAUCAGCAGUAGUUAGGGUUAAAGUACAGAUCAUUUGAGAGGACUUUAACUGUUUGGCCUGUAAGUGAAGCUUAGAGGGAUUACCAGGGCAUUGGUCUCAGUUUUUAUAUUUGCUUAUUAGACGUAAGCUCAAUAGACUGUGGAGAAAGAAGCAGCAGAGCAGCUGCCCAGCUGCUGCUUCUACCCAAACAGCAGUACUGACAAUAAAAGGUAAGGUACAGCUGUGGGCGGAAACUCAGAAUUUAUAAAACUAGAGGCAUUUCAGUCCUUGAAUGAUUUUUGUCAAGUACACCAAUGCAGGAGGUACUUUUUGUAACAGAGGACUUGAUGUGCGGUUCAAAGAGGACAUGGCCAAGCUGCUUCCCAGUGUCUGCUCAGUUCUCAGAGGACCAGAAGUUGACUGGAAGGCACUCAGAAUUCCUGAAAACAGCUUUCUAUUUCUCUGCCUCCCCAUAUGCAGUAGCGAAGCCAGAACAUAAAGAUCACAAUUCGAUGUAACCAUCUCUCCCUGAGGACUACAGUUCCCACAAUUCCGUCUUGAAAACAAACGAUGUUGGGCCAUCGUGCUCUUAAUCCACAUGAAAGGACAACUCACAGCAAUAAUGUGUGUUCUUUUAAUAGAAAUAUUUUUCCUGUGACUGUCAGCAUCUGUAUUUGUUGCCACGAAAUAUUUCACAAAGUACACUUAUAAUAUUACCAAAAUAAAAUGCUGUAGCCACUGCUCA
Molecule: long non-coding RNA, 831 nt
Filed under: Anser brachyrhynchus (Pink-footed goose)
Lineage: Eukaryota; Metazoa; Chordata; Aves; Anseriformes; Anatidae
Description: lncRNA (ENSABRG00000010592.1)
Source: RNAcentral